UAGGGAAUCUUCGGCAAUGGGGGAAACCCUGACCGAGCAACGCCGCGUGAGUGAAGAAGGUUUUCGGAUCGUAAAGCUCUGUUGUUAAGGAAGAACGAGUGUGAGAAUGGAAAGUUCAUACUGUGACGGUACUUAUCCAGAAAGGGACGGCUAACUACGUGCCAGCAGCCGCGGUAAUACGUAGGUCCCGAGCGUUGUCCGGAUUUAUUGGGCGUAAAGCGAGCGCAGGCGGUUAGAUAAGUCUGAAGUUAAAGGCAGUGGCUCAACCAUUGUAGGCUUUGGAAACUGUUUAACUUGAGUGCAGAAGGGGAGAGUGGAAUUCCAUGUGUAGCGGUGAAAUGCGUAGAUAUAUGGAGGAACACCGGUGGCGAAAGCGGCUCUCUGGUCUGUAACUGACGCUGAGGCUCGAAAGCGUGGGGAGCGAACAGG
This 429-nucleotide ribosomal RNA is filed under the name Bacteroidota bacterium. RNAcentral's name for it is "Bacteroidetes bacterium partial 16S ribosomal RNA". It matches the Rfam family "Bacterial small subunit ribosomal RNA", at positions 355 to 776 of the family's 1533-position model. Lineage: Bacteria; Pseudomonadati; Bacteroidota. The record is from RNAcentral.